Molecule: RNase P RNA, 356 nt
Filed under: human gut metagenome
Description: Bacterial RNase P class A
Rfam family: Bacterial RNase P class A
About the family: Ribonuclease P (RNase P) is a ubiquitous endoribonuclease, found in archaea, bacteria and eukarya as well as chloroplasts and mitochondria. Its best characterised activity is the generation of mature 5'-ends of tRNAs by cleaving the 5'-leader elements of precursor-tRNAs.
Source: RNAcentral
AAUCCGAACGGUCGCGGCGGCAUUUUUUGCCGAUGAGGAAAGUCCGAGCUUCGCAGGACAGGGUGCCGGAGAAAUCCCGGUGGAGGCGACUCUAAGGAAAGUGCAACAGAAAUAAACCGCCGCCCCUCUCGGGCGGUAAGGGUGGAAAGGCGGGGUAAGAGCCCACCGACAUUGCGGUAACGCUUUGUGCCAUGUAAACCCCAUCCGAAGCAACGCCGAAUGGAUUGGCUUGUCCGGCCGAUAAUCCGAAAGGCGGCUGGAGCCGCGCAGAGAUGCGCGGCGUAGACAGAUGACCGUUUCGGGGCAGGGCGUUUCGCCCUCGCUCUAUGACAGAACUCGGCUUACAGGGUUACUCA